CAANGUAUGCUUUGGAAACUGUUAGACUUGAGUGCAGAAGGGGAGAGUGGAAUUCCAUGUGUAGCGGUGAAAUGCGUAGAUAUAUGGAGGAACACCGGUGGCGAAAGCGGCUCUCUGGUCUGUCACUGACGCUGAGGCUCGAAAGCGUGGGUAGCGAACAGGAUUAGAUACCCUGGUAGUCCACGCCGUAAACGCUGAGUGCUAGGUGUUAGGUCCUUUCCGGGACUUAGUGCCGACGCUAACGCAUUAAGCACUCCGCCUGGGGAGUACGACCGCAAGGUUGAAACUCAAAGGAAUUGACGGGGGCCCGCACAAGCGGUGGAGCAUGUGGUUUAAUUCGAAGCAACGCGAAGAACCUUACCAGGUCUUGACAUCCCGAUGCCCGCUCUAGAGAUAGAGUUUUUCUUCGGAACAUCGGAGACAGGUGGUGCAUGGUUGUCGUCAGCUCGUGUCGUGAGAUGUUGGGUUAAGUCCCGCAACGAGCGCAACCCUUAUUGUUAGUUGCCAUCAUUAAGUUGGGCACUCUAGCGAGACUGCCGGUAAUAAACCGGAGGAAGGUGGGGAUGACGUCAAAUCAUCAUGCCCCUUAUGACCUGGGCUACACACGUGCUACAAUGGUUGGUACAACGAGUCGCAAGCCGGUGACGGCAAGCUAAUCUCUGAAAGCCAAUCUCAGUUCGGAUUGUAGGCUGCAACUCGCCUACAUGAAGUCGGAAUCGC
RNAcentral lists this ribosomal RNA (720 nucleotides) under uncultured bacterium. RNAcentral describes it as "bacterial SSU rRNA". It matches the Rfam family "Bacterial small subunit ribosomal RNA", at positions 615 to 1335 of the family's 1533-position model. The record is from RNAcentral.